Molecule: long non-coding RNA, 767 nt
Filed under: Lupinus angustifolius (narrow-leaved blue lupine)
Lineage: Eukaryota; Viridiplantae; Streptophyta; Magnoliopsida; Fabales; Fabaceae
Description: long non-coding RNA (LANG_LNC003691)
Source: RNAcentral
UCAUUUUAUGCUUCCGCAUUAUUUUCGCAAUGUGGUAUCAAAGCUUUCGAUCUGGAGGCUUUGGUAACUGUUGCGCAUUCUCUAAAUUUAUUAUCUUUCUCUUCCAAGAUUCAACAAGAGAAUUCAGUGGAAGAAGAUCAAGAAUUGGUGAAACAACAAUACAAAGUACAAAUUCUGCAACAACCAUUUUCAAGCAUCUAUUGGUAUGUUGCUUGUAUAUUUAUUGGCGUCUGCGAUUGAAAGUUGAUCGGUCUAUUUUGCAUAGUAAAGCUUUUGUUAUUACAAAUCUACGUUGAUUUCAACAGCUUUGUGUUGUAACUCAUUCCUAACACCAACCAAACUAUUAGCAAACUCUACAACCUGGGGUAGUGCAUCAAAACUGAAGUGCAAGAAAGAUUGUGUUCUUGCUCACCACAUUAAAUCAUGAACAAGAUCAACAAGAUCAUCAACAACAACAACAAAAUUAACAAGAUCAAGAAGAUCAACAACAACAACAAAAUCAACAACAACAACAACAUCAAGAUUAACAAGAUCAACAACAACAAGACCAAAUGAUUGAGAAAAUCCAAUCACGUUAAGAUCGAGAUUUCGAUCCAUUACAUUGUCAUGAUAUCAAAUCGAAUUAUCAAGCUCAAAUCAUUUACCUUCAACUUGAGAGGCUAUUGAAGAACAAAACUACCAUAUUUUACAUAGUUUACACAUUUUACACAUGUGUUUUAUUAGUUUGUUUAGGUAAGUUUGUUACAUAUUCAUAUACUAUAAACAGG